CCUACGGGUGGCAGCAGUAAGGGAUAUUGGUCAAUGGGGGAAACCCUGAACCAGCAACGCCGCGUGAGGGAAGACGGUUUUCGGAUUGUAAACCUCUGUCCUCUGUGAAGAUGAUGACGGUACCUGAAGAAGAAGCCCCGGCUAACUACGUGCCAGCAGCCGCGGGAAUACGUAGGGGGCAAGCGUUAUCCGGAUUUACUGGGUGUAAAGGGGGCGCAGACGGCGAUGCAAGCCAGGAGUGAAAGCCCGGGGCCCAACCCCGGGACUGCUCUUGAAACUGCGUGGCUGGAGUGCAGGAGGGGUAGGCGGAAUGCCUGGUGUAGCGGUGAAAUGCGUAGAUAUCAGGAGGAACACCGGUGGCGAAGGCGGCCUGCUGGACUGCAACUGACGUUGAGGCCCGAAAGCGUGGGGAGCAAACAGGAUUAGAUACCCCAGUAGUC
Molecule: ribosomal RNA, 440 nt
Filed under: uncultured bacterium
Lineage: Bacteria
Description: partial 16S ribosomal RNA
Rfam family: Bacterial small subunit ribosomal RNA
Source: RNAcentral